AGUGUAUUUUGUUAUUAAUAAAAAAAAAAAAAAUCUGUUCUUAUCAGUUUAAUAUCUGAUACGUCCCCUACCCGGGGACUGCAUAUUAAAUGGAUGUUUGGAUCACGGAGCUGGAGCCGGGGCUUGCUCCGUCGACUCCACGCAUCGGCCUGGUAUUGCAGUGUCUCCAGAAACGAAGUGCUUCCC
Molecule: small nuclear RNA, 186 nt
Filed under: Sinocyclocheilus rhinocerous
Lineage: Eukaryota; Metazoa; Chordata; Actinopteri; Cypriniformes; Cyprinidae
Description: U2 spliceosomal RNA (ENSSRHG00000046201.1)
Rfam family: U2 spliceosomal RNA
About the family: U2 is a small nuclear RNA (snRNA) component of the spliceosome (involved in pre-mRNA splicing). Complementary binding between U2 snRNA (in an area lying towards the 5' end but 3' to hairpin I) and the branchpoint sequence (BPS) of the intron results the bulging out of an unpaired adenosine, on the BPS, which initiates a nucleophilic attack at the intronic 5' splice site, thus starting the first of two transesterification reactions that mediate splicing.
Source: Rfam by way of RNAcentral